Molecule: small nucleolar RNA, 129 nt
Organism: Balaenoptera musculus (blue whale)
Lineage: Eukaryota; Metazoa; Chordata; Mammalia; Artiodactyla; Balaenopteridae
Source: Ensembl
CAGCACUGGCAAGUGACCCACUGGGCUCCUCCUUGACCAACUGGGCAUCGAGCAGUGCCAAAGCAAAUCCCUCCACAAAGCUGGGAGAGUCAUGCUGUGGGCUACUCCUGCAUGCAGGUGGGUACAUAU